Molecule: transfer RNA, 76 nt
Filed under: Bacillota bacterium
Lineage: Bacteria; Bacillati; Bacillota
Description: Firmicutes bacterium (anaerobic digester metagenome) tRNA-Arg
Rfam family: tRNA
About the family: Transfer RNA (tRNA) molecules are approximately 80 nucleotides in length. Their secondary structure includes four short double-helical elements and three loops (D, anti-codon, and T loops).
Source: RNAcentral
GCCCCCGUAGCUCAGGGGAUAGAGCAGCAGUUUCCUAAACUGUUAGUCGCAGGUUCGAUUCCUGCCGGGGGCGCCA